AAGACGAAUGACAACAGAGUGUCAUGAAUCAAAGAUUAGGAUUAAUACACUUCUGUGCACCUGGGUCCAUU
Molecule: small nucleolar RNA, 71 nt
Filed under: Choloepus hoffmanni (Hoffmann's two-fingered sloth)
Lineage: Eukaryota; Metazoa; Chordata; Mammalia; Pilosa; Megalonychidae
Description: Small nucleolar RNA SNORD112 (ENSCHOG00000015660.1)
Source: RNAcentral